AUAACAUCAGACCGUCGGUCUAACGAGCAACUUCACCCGCUCGGUGGAAGAUCUUCCCUUUGUCAC
Molecule: microRNA precursor, 66 nt
Filed under: Bombyx mori (domestic silkworm)
Lineage: Eukaryota; Metazoa; Arthropoda; Insecta; Lepidoptera; Bombycidae
Description: mir-2774 microRNA precursor family
Rfam family: mir-2774 microRNA precursor family
Source: Rfam by way of RNAcentral